ACGGGUGAGUAACACGUGGUCAACCUUCCCUAGUGUGGGGGAUAACUAGCCGAAAGGUUAGCUAAUACCGCAUAACAUCUACGAGUGGCAUCAUUUGUAGAUCAAAGGAGCAAUCCGCACAAGGACGGGACCGCGUCCCAUUAGUUAGUUGGUGGGGUAACGGCCUACCAAGACUCCGAUGGGUAGCUGGUUUGAGAGAGCGACCAGCCACACUGGGACUGAGAAACGGCCCAG
This 234-nucleotide ribosomal RNA is filed under the name uncultured bacterium. Its description in RNAcentral is "partial 16S ribosomal RNA". It matches the Rfam family "Bacterial small subunit ribosomal RNA", at positions 102 to 334 of the family's 1533-position model. The record is from RNAcentral.